This is a long non-coding RNA of Mastomys coucha (southern multimammate mouse), 341 nucleotides long. RefSeq lists it as uncharacterized. NCBI's taxonomy places the organism in Eukaryota, Metazoa, Chordata, Mammalia, Rodentia, Muridae. The record is from RefSeq and is a predicted model, not a curated record. The transcript has 2 exons.
UCAAUGUUAUUCACUUUAUGGCUGACUGUUCCCUAGAACCACCCAGAUGGCUCACAUACCGAUUUUUUCUCUUGGACUUAGCUGGGGGGGGGUGGGGAGGUGGGGGGUUGUGGCCAACAGGCUCCCGAAACUGGCCAGUCCACAUUCCUGGCUCUCCACAGAGAUCUUCCAUGCCCUUCCAGUUCCUGCUAACAGCUACGCCCUGCUGAAUUACUGCACCUGCCUCCAGACCGUACAUCAAGAUGCUAAUUUGGCCGACAGAUCCUGGUGGACUGGGGGAGGGGUUUUCCCUGCCUGCUUGAUUCGCAGAUUCAUAAUACACAUCAGACCUUGAUCAGAAA